RNAcentral lists this ribosomal RNA (523 nucleotides) under Salmonella enterica. RNAcentral describes it as "partial 23S ribosomal RNA". Lineage: Bacteria; Pseudomonadati; Pseudomonadota; Gammaproteobacteria; Enterobacterales; Enterobacteriaceae. The record is from RNAcentral.
CAACCCAGACCGCCAGCUAAGGUCCCAAAGUCAUGGUUAAGUGGGAAACGAUGUGGGAAGGCCCAGACAGCCAGGAUGUUGGCUUAGAAGCAGCCAUCAUUUAAAGAAAGCGUAAUAGCUCACUGGUCGAGUCGGCCUGCGCGGAAGAUGUAACGGGGCUAAACCAUGCACCGAAGCUGCGGCAGCGAACGUAUCACCCAAGACAACUUUACGGAGUUGACGAUUGACGGAGCGAAGCGACGUCAAAGCRUUCAUUAAAGUCGAGUUGGCUUAGGGAUACGUUCGUUGGGUAGGGGAGCGUUCUGUAAGCCUGUGAAGGUGGCCUGUGAGGGUUGCUGGAGGUAUCAGAAGUGCGAAUGCUGACAUAAGUAACGAUAAAGCGGGUGAAAAGCCCGCUCGCCGGAAGACCAAGGGUUCCUGUCCAACGUUAAUCGGGGCAGGGUGAGUCGACCCCUAAGGCGAGGCCGAAAGGCGUAGUCGAUGGGAAACGGGUUAAUAUUCCCGUACUUGGUGUUACUGCGAA